GGGGUGGGGAGCCUCCUGAGUCCUCCCACAACAUCUCAUCUUGCCUCCUCAUAGAGCCUGGGCAGGCUUCCCUCUGCCAAUCCGAAGCUGCAAGUCAGACCGAGAAGCUUGUUUCUCUCUAACCCCCAGUGUGCAAAGAUCCUGCGCCUGCUUCCCUCCGUGAACCUCAAGCUGCUGGUCAGACUGACAACCUCGCGUCUCUCUGAUUCCCAAUGCGCAAGGCUACUGGAAUCGUGUUUUGAGGUGCUGCCUCAGAUUGUGCAAUGCAGUGAAGUGGAAAUUUUAAAAUGUUCAUCCUAUUCGUUCUGUCAUCUGACGUCUAAGCAGGCUAAAGACUUCUCCAACAUCCCUGCAGCCCACCCCUCUAAUCGACACCACCCCAAACACAAGUACCAGUUCAAAGUACAGUCCUCAGUCUCACCCAGGACUUUCUGUGUUUUGUUGCUUAGAUUUUAUUGCUGA
Molecule: long non-coding RNA, 462 nt
Filed under: Macaca mulatta (Rhesus monkey)
Lineage: Eukaryota; Metazoa; Chordata; Mammalia; Primates; Cercopithecidae
Description: lncRNA (ENSMMUG00000059480.1)
Source: RNAcentral